GAUGAAGAACGCAGCGAAAUGCGAUAAGUAAUGCGAAUUGCAGAAUCCGUGAGUCAUCGAAUCUUUGAACGCACAUUGCGCCCCUUGGUUAUUCCGAAGGGCAUGCCUGUUCGAGCGUCAUUUCACCACUCAAGCCUCGCUUGGUAUUGGGCAACGCGGUCCGCCGCGUGCCUCAAAUCGACCGGCUGGGUCUUCUGUCCCCUAAGCGUUGUGGAAACUAUUCGCUAAAGGGUGUUCGGGAGGCUACGCCGUAAAACAACCCCAUUUCUAAGGUUGACCUCGGAUCAGGUAGGGAUACCCGCUGAACUUAAGCAUAUCAAUAAGCGGAGGA
RNAcentral lists this unclassified non-coding RNA (331 nucleotides) under soil metagenome. RNAcentral's name for it is "partial contains 5.8S ribosomal RNA, internal transcribed spacer 2, and large subunit ribosomal RNA". The stretch from base 1 to 120 matches the Rfam family "5.8S ribosomal RNA", at positions 35 to 154 of the family's 154-position model. The record is from RNAcentral.